GGGCUGGAAACGCUCCACAGGGGCAUCAGGAGAAGGCUGCCAGAGGGGAAAACAGCUGUCUGUAAUGGAAAGGGACCAGAUAAGCAAGCUCUGCUAAGGUUGGGUGCAGGAGUAGAGCAUACACUGGAGACUCAAGAACACCAAGAAGCAGAGAUAUGGUGGGAAGGCUGGUAGCUACAUUUUAUGUGAGUACUGCUCUGCAUGAGUUUUACUUGCUCGCAAAGGUGGGAACCAAUCAUUGAAUCAUAGAAUACCUCAAGCUGGAAGGGACCCAUAAGGAUCAUCGAGUCCAACUGUCCAGGGCAGCUCCUUAGAGAAGGAAAAACAGAAUUCAGUGAAGGACUUGACAGGAGGAAGAAAAGGCUCAGCAGCUUGAGUUUGAUGAUGAGAAGAAGGGCUGCGUGGCAGGGAUAGAGACAACAUGCAGCCAGUAUAUUAAAAAGCAAUCAAAGGAAAAGAAACCAGUAGUUUAACUAGAUAAACACAAAUGUCUUCAAUUCUAUCUAAUUCUACCAUGUGUGCAUGCCUGAAUCAUGCUGUGCAACACUGCUUUGAAAUUUCUGCGAGAAACAGAUGUAGUUAGCAAUUGUUCCUCGAUGCCGACAGGAAGAAAAUCAGCAUUAGCUGAUGAAGAAGAAGAUUCUUUUAAAAAGAAUAUGAAUAAUCUUAGUGUCUGCUCCAGGAGAACACGUGGGAUGGUCUGAGAUUUCAGUACAAACUCAUCUGGUACAGAGAGGCCUUGAACCACGCAGAUAUAUCUGUUGCACAUCAGCGAAUGCAGAAAUGACACAGAGUGCAAGGCAUCCCUUAGCAACUCAUCUGGAUUCCACUAGUGGAAAACUGGCUCCUGCCAGCAAAAGUGACACAGAUGACCCAGAGCAUGCUCCCAGCACAACCUGAAGUCCAAACAUCCCACCAUCCACUCACGUGAGGGCUUCAUGCUACUAACUAGUGCGUAUCAUGAACAGAGAGAUAUGAUUGUUGUUCAUUCCUAUGGUGUCUCUACAAGGAGGCUGGCUCAGUGGAAAUGACCAGCCUUUGAAUUACAUCUUUUUUUGUGUGUGUG
This is a non-coding RNA of Phalacrocorax carbo (great cormorant), 1066 nucleotides long. The record is from RefSeq and is a predicted model, not a curated record. Lineage: Eukaryota; Metazoa; Chordata; Aves; Suliformes; Phalacrocoracidae.